Triticum urartu is the source of this 1374-nucleotide long non-coding RNA. RefSeq lists it as uncharacterized. Lineage: Eukaryota; Viridiplantae; Streptophyta; Magnoliopsida; Poales; Poaceae. The record is from RefSeq and is a predicted model, not a curated record.
GGUGGAGUGUUUGAUCCACCUUCACCAGUGAGCCCUCACUUUAUAUCGGUGAUCUUCUCUGCUAGCUUGCUGCUGCCCGGUCGACUUCGGUCCACUUUGAAAUAAUGCACUAGCUAGCUAGCUAGGUACAAUACAUUAUGCCCGGUCUUUGGUCAUCGUCGUUCACACUGUAUUAUCUCGUACCGCAUGUCUACAUAGUACCACCUUCCAGAGAUGGUGUCGGCAAGAAUCAUCAUAUGAUAAUACGGUAAUUGUACCUGGCAAACAUCGGGGUAAGAGGGUGGCAAGCGAACCAUCUAUGCCGACAGUUUUAGUAGGUGUAAAACGAGAUCAAAUGACGACAGUUUUUAAAUGAAAAUUGCCUUCUCGGAAAGAAACUGCCAUGUGUCUUCUAAAGAAAAUGUCACCUCUCCCCACUUCACCACUACUAAAAUAGCCAUCACAUCGUUCGCAUGUCCCACAUCCUUUGGCAACGUUGGGCAGUUAGGAGGGGAGAACGUAUCCUGUGCACCCGACCAAUUCGUGCACCAGGUGCUCCGAUGGAACAUGAGCCGUUGGAUUAAAAAGGAAGGGACAGGAUGCAGUGGAAGGGAAGUUACUGGUACAUUUUGCAGAAGAGACCUUCAUGUCUAGCUAAAUUGAACAAAUUCACAUCCCAAACCAAGUUCGUCGAUCCCCUUUUCCUCUGUCCUGUACCACUGCUGGAGGUCGCCGCCGCUAGGGUUAACUGAAAAAACUGGGCGGAUCCCUCUCUCCCUCUCCCUCUCCUGUACCUCAUCCUCUUCGCUUUCGGCAUUGAAGCACGAGCGCCCAAAGAUCCAAAUCAUGAUGUCUGGCGGCGGCUCGCUGCCAUUGCGUCUCUGCAGCGAUGUGGGGUCGUAGCUCUGUGGAUCGACGAUACAGCUGCAUAGGAGAGGACCAUCGUCCUUUACAGCUCAAGGGUCCAAGUUUAUCCAUGGUGAUGCACUGCAAACUUGGAAAAGGCCUACUUGUAGCCGGAUGGCAGUCCUGCAGCAGUGAAGCGAUGUAAAAUUUGACAUGGCCCAUGCCUGAAGUUCGAGAAACCUCAAAUGGACAAUGCAAUAGACUGUAACGUUUAAGAUGUAUGAAUCUCUACUGCUUUUCAAGUAGCAGUGUGGUUCUGCAGUAGAUUGUAUAGGAUGGCAUGUGUCAUCUUCAUUUAUACAUUUGUUUGGCCAAGCUUCUUAUUCAAACCGUGUAUAGAACCUGAGAAAAUUGACAAGUUGUGCUCUUGUAUCAGUUGCAUGAUUGCUCAUUACUAACUUUUGUGAAAAAUGCAAAAUUUUCAUGUAAUUUAUUCUUUGAACAUUUGAAAAGCUCAACAGUUAUAACUAUGUAAUAUUAAGUAUAUGA